RNAcentral lists this ribosomal RNA (253 nucleotides) under uncultured bacterium. RNAcentral's name for it is "partial 16S ribosomal RNA". It matches the Rfam family "Bacterial small subunit ribosomal RNA", at positions 524 to 776 of the family's 1533-position model. The record is from RNAcentral.
GACAGAGGGGGCAAGCGUUGCUCGGAAUCACUGGGCGUAAAGGGCGCGUAGGCGGGAUGGCAAGUCAGUCGUGAAAUCUCUCGGCUCAACCGAGAAACGUCGGCUGAUACUGCCGUUCUUGAGGGAUGCAGAGGAGACUGGAAUUCCCGGUGUAGCGGUGAAAUGCGCAGAUAUUAGGAAGAACACCAGUGGCGAAGGCGGCUCACUGGCCCGGUACUGACGCUGAGGCGCGAAAGCGUGGGGAGCAAACAGG